CGCUGGCGGCGUGCCUAACACAUGCAAGUCAACUUGACUGAAGGAGCAAUCUGACAGUAGAGUGGCGCAAGGGUGCGUAACGCGUAAGUAACUUGCCCAAGGUAAGGAAUAACGUCGAGAAAUCGGCGCUAAUACCUCAUAAUGCAGCGGAUCCGCAUGGAUAUGUUGUUAAAGGUUUACCGCCUUGGGAUAGGCUUGCGUCUGAUUAGCUAGUUGGUGUGGUAACGGCACACCAAGGCUACGAUCAGUAACUGGUCUGAGAGGAUGAUCAGUCACACUGGAACUGAGACACGGUCCAGACUCCUACGGGAGGCAGCAGUGAGGAAUAUUGGGCAAUGCUCGAAAGAGUGACCCAGCAACGCCGCGUGGAGGAUGAAGGUAUUCUAUAUCGUAAACUCCUGUGAGAGCAGACGAAAGACAGAUUAUUAAUCUGGAUGACUGUAUGCUCAGAGGAAGCCCCGGCUAACUACGUG
This 473-nucleotide ribosomal RNA is filed under the name uncultured bacterium. RNAcentral describes it as "bacterial SSU rRNA". It matches the Rfam family "Bacterial small subunit ribosomal RNA", at positions 34 to 507 of the family's 1533-position model. The record is from RNAcentral.